GCUAGUUAUCAACCUAUGCUCCGGGUUGAAAGACGAAACUCUUACAGUGAUACAUAUUAAAUCUGAAUAAUUGCUAAAACAAAAACAAAAGAUAGUGAUGAUGACUAAUCAACUAAAAGUAUGGAAUCAAUCAAUUAACUUGAAAUUCCCAAGUCAUGUCAGCCUCAAUUUUUAAUAAAAGAGUGCCAGAAAAAUACUAUUGAGCAGCAUUACUUAGAAAUGGCAUUUAUUUCUUAUUUCACUUUCUCCCUUCCCUUGCAGUUAUGAAAAGUAAUCACACAAAAACGAAAUUACCCUACAUCAUGGAUAGUGAAGUGCAGCACAUACACAAACAACUAUUUUGUUGAAAAUUACAGAUGCAUAUUUGUCAAGGAACCACUCAGCCUAA
RNAcentral lists this unclassified non-coding RNA (388 nucleotides) under Hevea brasiliensis (rubber tree). The record is from RNAcentral. Lineage: Eukaryota; Viridiplantae; Streptophyta; Magnoliopsida; Malpighiales; Euphorbiaceae.